GCCAGGCACGGCAGUGCAUUUCUAGAAUGUCAGCCCCCUGGAGUCUGAGGCGGAUGCAUCUCUUGACCUUGGGAGUUCAGAACCCGCAGUGGACUGUGCCAAUCGGGUGUCCUAAGUUUGGCGUUACUAUGAUGAACCCUUGGGAGUGGGUGGCUACCAGAUUGCCUAAGGAGGGGUGAACUGGCCCAGGUGGGAAACAGAGCAGGUUAAGGCUCCCAUGCCAAUCAGUAGCAGGAUGAAGCUGUGAGCAGCUCCUGCACUGCCAGCCUGGGGCACGCGGGAGCCUAGUUUU
Molecule: signal recognition particle RNA, 292 nt
Filed under: Vombatus ursinus (common wombat)
Lineage: Eukaryota; Metazoa; Chordata; Mammalia; Diprotodontia; Vombatidae
Description: Metazoan signal recognition particle RNA (ENSVURG00010002590.1)
Rfam family: Metazoan signal recognition particle RNA
About the family: The signal recognition particle (SRP) is a universally conserved ribonucleoprotein. It is involved in the co-translational targeting of proteins to membranes.
Source: RNAcentral